Pelobates cultripes (western spadefoot toad) is the source of this 439-nucleotide non-coding RNA. The record is from the annotation of a GenBank genome assembly. NCBI's taxonomy places the organism in Eukaryota, Metazoa, Chordata, Amphibia, Anura, Pelobatidae.
CUCGCUUCUUAGUCGCUUGUUGGAACCCUGGAGUGGUUCAACCCUAGUCACUGGGGUCUCUCUGGAGCUUUUCCACCUGACAAGGUUGCAGGUCUCCUACCAGGCAGGUAUCAUCCCUUUUUCCUAAUUCACUGCAGCCCUUCUUCCAUGGCAGAUGUCGUCCCCUCUGCCUAUUUCUCUGUGGCCCUUCUUCCAGGCAGGUAUCAUCCCCUCUGCCUAUUCCUCUGCAGCUUUUCUUUCAGGCAGGUAUGCACCUCUGCCUGCAAUGUGAUAGCUCUUGUCUAUCUUUAUAAAGACACUUGCAGCUCUCAGGCCUAGCUCUCUUUUAUUUGCCGCCAGACUAGAGGGAUCGUGCAGCCAGGCAAUGGGUACAACAACUCUUUUACUGUGAUCCCUAAAAAUCCACACAGGACCAGUGGUGUAUCCUGGUUUUGUGCUG